This 314-nucleotide long non-coding RNA is filed under the name Gallus gallus (chicken). Lineage: Eukaryota; Metazoa; Chordata; Aves; Galliformes; Phasianidae. The record is from RNAcentral.
AAUUCAUGUUAUGAGACAUCGGUUUCAGACAAACCACUUGCACAGCCAUCAUGGUGACAGCUACAGGCAACGUGGUAACCUGCAGAUUGCUCACAGAGUGAAGCGAGGCCAGUAAUGAAGUUCAGCCAUCAGAGAGAUAAAACCCUAAUUUAUGGCAGUUACUGAAUCAUAGAAUCAAGGAAUGGUUGAGGCUGGAAGAGAACUCUGAAGGUCUUGUGGUCCAGCCCCUCUGCUCAAGUAGUGUCCCGCAGAGUACGUUACACAGGAUUGUGUCCAUACAAUCUUUUAGAUAUCUCCAUGGAAGGAGACUCCAG